CCUACGGGUGGCUGCAGUGGGGAAUAUUGGGCAAUGGGCGCAAGCCUGACCCAGCAACGCCGCGUGAAGGAAGAAGGCCCUCGGGUUGUAAACUUCUUUUAUUCGGGACGAAACAAAUGACGGUACCGAAUGACUAAACUACGGCUAACUAGGGCCCAGCAGCCGCGGAAAUACGUAGGCGGCAAGCGUUAUCCGGAUUUACUGGGUGUAAAGGGCGUGUAGGCGGGAGUGUAAGUCAGACGUGAAAUUCCAGGGCUAAACGCUGGAACUGCGUUUGAUACUGUUCUGCUUGAGUGAUGGGGCGGCAGGCGGAAUGCCGGGUGUAGCGGUGAAAUGCGUAGAUAUACGAAAGAACACCAAUUGCGAAGGCAGCCUGCGAAACAUUAACUGACGCUGAGGCGCGAAAGCGUGGGGAGCAAACAGGAUUAGAUACCCUUGUAGUC
RNAcentral lists this ribosomal RNA (443 nucleotides) under uncultured bacterium. Its description in RNAcentral is "partial 16S ribosomal RNA". It matches the Rfam family "Bacterial small subunit ribosomal RNA", at positions 338 to 795 of the family's 1533-position model. The record is from RNAcentral.